Molecule: ribosomal RNA, 19 nt
Filed under: Sporobolomyces pararoseus
Lineage: Eukaryota; Fungi; Basidiomycota; Microbotryomycetes; Sporidiobolales; Sporidiobolaceae
Description: Sporidiobolus pararoseus partial 26S rRNA
Source: RNAcentral
UUAGAUCUCAAAUCAGGCA